AACGUACGCUGGCGGCACGCCUAACACAUGCAAGUCGAACGCAGUAGCAAUACUGAGUGGCAGACGGGUGAGUAACAUGUGGGAAUCUGCCUUGUGGUUCAGGACAACAUUGGGAAACCGAUGCUAAUACUGGAUAAGCCCUUACGGGGAAAGUUUUAAUGCCAUAAGAUGAGCCCGCAUUUGAUUAGUUAGUUGGUGAGGUAAUGGCUCACCAAGACAAUGAUCAAUAGCUGAUCUGAGAGGAUGAUCAGCCACACUGGGACUGAGACACGGCCCAGACUCCUACGGGAGGCAGCAGUGGGGAAUCUUGCACAAUGGAGGAAACUCUGAUGCAGCGAUGCCGCGUGAGUGAAGAAGGCCUUUGGGUUGUAAAGCUCUUUUGUAGGGGAAGAUAAUGACUGUACCCUAAGAAUAAGGUCCGGCUAACUUCGUG
RNAcentral lists this ribosomal RNA (433 nucleotides) under uncultured bacterium. RNAcentral's name for it is "bacterial SSU rRNA". It matches the Rfam family "Bacterial small subunit ribosomal RNA", at positions 29 to 507 of the family's 1533-position model. The record is from RNAcentral.